GGCUGAAUGGUGUAGUGGUUAUCACAUCUGUCUUACACUGAGUAAGGUUCACAGAAGGUCCCAAGUUCAAUCCUUGGUUCAGUCA
This is a non-coding RNA of Tirmania nivea, 85 nucleotides long. The record is from the annotation of a GenBank genome assembly. Lineage: Eukaryota; Fungi; Ascomycota; Pezizomycetes; Pezizales; Pezizaceae.